GCCUUGGUGGUGAAAUGGUAGACACGCGAGACUCAAAAUCUCGUGCUAAAGAGCGUGGAGGUUCGAGUGUUCAUCGAUCGGGUG
RNAcentral lists this transfer RNA (84 nucleotides) under Tolypanthus maclurei. RNAcentral describes it as "tRNA-Leu". Lineage: Eukaryota; Viridiplantae; Streptophyta; Magnoliopsida; Santalales; Loranthaceae. The record is from RNAcentral.